UCAAACAGUUGAAAGGGGAAAUUGGCAUUGAACCGAGGCCACAUAGUCGGUGGACCCAUGGCGUCAUGCUGAAAUUCGGAGGUCAUUGGUCCUUGAGGAGGAGGCAUAGGCUGACUGCGAACCGGUGAAGGAUCCGCAUGCAUUGCCUCUGGAGAAGGUGAUCGAGCUGGCAUUGGCUCGGGAGUUGAAGAAGGUUCAGAAGUCGAACCGAGCUGACCGUCCGAAGGCUGUUUUCUUUUUCGGGACGGAGAAGGGUCGGCUUCGACCUGCUCAGCGCUAGGUGUUGGGGUUUCAUUUAAUGGGCUGGAUGUUGAAGGAGGGGGAACGCGGAGUUCGUCGGCAGUAAGAGGAAUUAUUUUGCUUCUCAAUUUUUUAGCACGAAGGACUUUCGCCCGAUCGUGUGGAGGAAUGUCAAGGAGACUCCUCUUUCUUAGAUUUGGUUCAGA
Molecule: long non-coding RNA, 446 nt
Filed under: Panax ginseng (ginseng)
Lineage: Eukaryota; Viridiplantae; Streptophyta; Magnoliopsida; Apiales; Araliaceae
Description: long non-coding RNA (PGIN_LNC008867)
Source: RNAcentral